UAAGUUAUGAUUUUAUAAUGCGUCUUUUAGUUUUAAAAAAUAACAUAUUUGGAUUACGACUCAAGGAAAACUUAAUAGGGGUUGUCAUUAUUUAGAACCACUGAAUAUCCUUUAAAGUCGGGGCAUUUUUCUUUCCCAGCCUUGCUACUUGCCUUAUUAUUUUAUGUCCAGGUUUAAGCAGUGGCUGUUAUGGUCUCUAUUUUCAGUUUUAACCCUCACCAUCAUCAAUAUUCACGGCUAACAGUUACCGCAAUCAAUUGCAGUAACGUUCAUUAUGUACGCAAACUAUAAAUGCCUGAUUUUUGUUGCAAGUAGUUGUAAAUCAAGCUGCUUUUUCUUGUUUUAGAUUCCACCCACAAGUGUGCCUGUCAUUGUGAGAGAAUAUAGAAGAGAUCACCUGUGGUCGUAGUUCAAGACGGCUCGUAAAUGUAUUCCAGAGGAUUUUCCACAAUUUUGCUCAUGUUGUCGACCAUCAUUCUGGUCAAUCGCAACGGAACAAUAAGGAUAGAAAUUUUUUUUUUUUCACAUGUUCUUUCCUCUGUUCUUUCUUCAUGGAAUAAGGCUAUAGGCUGACAUGGUUUCCUGUGUUAUUUUUUUUUCUCCUUUUUUCCUCUUAAACUGACUCAGUGAAGAGUGCAAUCCGUUCGCCUCUCCGGGCAGAAUUGAUCCUAUCCGUUCGCCUCUCCGGGCAGAAUUGAUCCUAUCUCAUAUAUAUUGUAGACAAGCCAUGGUUUGUUCUUUUUCCUCCCUUGAGGUAUCAAAGGGAUGAUUUUGCUGCAAAUUUGACUCUUUUUUUUCCCAGAAGAGUCUGAUUUUAUUCUGCCAUGGAAUAAUACCUCUUAUCUUCUCUUAGAAAAUAUAAUUUCAUUAUAAGUUCUGAUCGUAUUUAGUUUUUUUUUUUAUAUAUAAGACUUAGAAUUAUUUAAAGCUUUUCUCUAACUCAUAAAUAAAAAGAUAAUGUGUUUUAGUGUAUUCGAAUUUACGU
This 985-nucleotide long non-coding RNA is filed under the name Gossypium barbadense (sea-island cotton). Its description in RNAcentral is "long non-coding RNA (GBAR_LNC006831)". The record is from RNAcentral. Lineage: Eukaryota; Viridiplantae; Streptophyta; Magnoliopsida; Malvales; Malvaceae.